GAGUGAAGCGGCAACAGCUCAAUUUGAAAUCUGGCCCCCCCCGGGGGGCCCGAGUUGUAAUUUGCAGAGGAUGCUUUGGGCGAGGCGCCUUCCGAGUUCCCUGGAACGGGACGCCACAGAGGGUGAGAGCCCCGUCUGGUCGGACGCCGAGCCUCUGUAAAGCUCCUUCGACGAGUCGAGUAGUUUGGGAAUGCUGCUCAAAAUGGGAGGUAUAUGUCUUCUAAAGCUAAAUACCGGCCAGAGACCGAUAGCGCACAAGUAGAGUGAUCGAAAGAUGAAAAGCACCUUGAAAAGGGGGUUAAACAGUACGUGAAAUUGUUGAAAGGGAAGCGCUCGUGACCAGACUUGGGGCGGGCGGAUCAGCCGGCGUUCUCGCCGGCGCACUCCGCCCGUCCCAGGCCAGCAUCAGUUCGCGCCGGGGGACAAAGGCGGCGGGAACGUGGCUCCCCAGGGAGUGUUAUAGCCCGCCGCGCCAUGCCCCGGGGGCGGACUGAGGGCCGCGCAUCACUGCAAGGAUGCUGGCGUAAUGGUCACCAGCGACCCGUCUUGAAAC
This 553-nucleotide ribosomal RNA is filed under the name Aschersonia tahitensis. Its description in RNAcentral is "LSU rRNA". It matches the Rfam family "Eukaryotic large subunit ribosomal RNA", at positions 91 to 660 of the family's 3401-position model. The record is from RNAcentral. Lineage: Eukaryota; Fungi; Ascomycota; Sordariomycetes; Hypocreales; Clavicipitaceae.